RNAcentral lists this ribosomal RNA (530 nucleotides) under uncultured Clostridium sp. Its description in RNAcentral is "bacterial SSU rRNA". It matches the Rfam family "Bacterial small subunit ribosomal RNA", at positions 8 to 521 of the family's 1533-position model. Lineage: Bacteria; Bacillati; Bacillota; Clostridia; Eubacteriales; Clostridiaceae. The record is from RNAcentral.
AGAGUUUGAUCCUGGCUCAGGACGAACGCUGGCGGCGUGCUUAACACAUGCAAGUCGAACGAGGAUACAGGAGAGCUUGCUCGAAUGUAUCCGAGUGGCGGACGGGUGAGUAACGCGUGAAUAAUCUGUCUCAUACAGGGGGAUAACGCAUCGAAAGAUGUGCUAAUACCGCGUAGGACCACAGCGUCGCAUGGCGCAGGGGUGAAAGGAGCAAUCCAGUAUGAGGUGAGUUCGCGUCUGAUUAGAUAGUUGGUGAGGUAACGGCCCACCAAGGCGACGAUCGGUAGCCGGACUGAGAGGUUGAACGGCCACAUUGGGACUGAGACACGGCCCAGACUCCUACGGGAGGCAGCAGUGGGGGAUAUUGCGCAAUGGGCGAAAGCCUGACGCAGCAACGCCGCGUGAGUGAUGAAGGCUUUCGAGUCGUAAAGCUCUGUCAGAGGGGAAGAACAACCUUGAGUUGAAUAAGCUUAGGGUCUGACGGUACCCUCAGAGGAAGCACCGGCUAACUCCGUGCCAGCAGCCGCGGU